This 468-nucleotide ribosomal RNA is filed under the name uncultured bacterium. RNAcentral's name for it is "partial 16S ribosomal RNA". It matches the Rfam family "Bacterial small subunit ribosomal RNA", at positions 28 to 507 of the family's 1533-position model. The record is from RNAcentral.
GACGAACGCUGGCGGCGUGCUUAACACAUGCAAGUCGAACGGAAAGUCCCUGCUUUUGUGGGGUGCUCGAGUGGCGAACGGGUGAGUAACACGUGAGUAACCUGCCCUUGACUUUGGGAUAACUUCAGGAAACUUGGGCUAAUACCGGAUAGGAGCGCCUGCUGCAUUGUGGGGGUUGGAAAGUUUCGGCGGUUGGGGAUGGACUCGCGGCUUAUCAGCUGGUUGGUGGGGUAGUGGCUUACCAAGGCUUUGACGGGUAGCCGGCCUGAGAGGGUGACCGGCCACAUUGGGACUGUGAUACGGCCCAGACUCCUACGGGAGGCAGCAGUGGGGAAUAUUGCACAAUGGGCGGAAGCCUGAUGCAGCAACGCCGCGUGCGGGAUGACGGCCUUCGGGUUGUAAACCGCUUUCGCCUGUGACGAAGCGUGAGUGACGGUAAUGGGUAAAGAAGCACCGGCUAACUCCGUG